Molecule: transfer RNA, 63 nt
Filed under: Sphaerodactylus townsendi
Lineage: Eukaryota; Metazoa; Chordata; Lepidosauria; Squamata; Sphaerodactylidae
Description: tRNA-Thr
Source: RNAcentral
GUGGCUCAGUGGUAGAGCCUCUUCUUGGUAUGCAGAAGGUCCCAGAUUCAAUCCCAGGUCCCA